CUGGGUUUCAUGCAUUUGCGGAUUUUAUGACCGAGGAUGUUGGGAGUUGGGACAUCGCUCUGUGGUGUUGGUAAAAAGUGAUGAAAUAAUUUUCCUUCCGCUAAAUGAAUCGGUGUUUGGAAUUAAACGGAAGAGUCAAUUCAUAGGUAUUAAGAACAUUUAGCUUUGUUAAAUGAUGAUCUUUGAGAGAAAUGAGGAAGAGGAACGGUGUUGGGCAAGCACAAAAAUGUCAAUAACUGAAAUUUUUGGUGGAUAGAGAUGAUCGAGGACCUCUCUUUCAGAUAUUCACCAAGCUUGUAACUUGUACAAUACAAACAUUACUUUUGAUAAUGAAGUAGGAGUUUGGCAUAGAACUGAGUGCUCAUUUGGCGCUUCCUUAUAAGAUAAUGGCGACUUUAGUGCAUGACUCAAAAGAAAUGAUGUAAAGUUUGUGGGAGAAAGCACUGAAGAAAGACAGUUGAAGGCAAGCAAGAAAGGUUAAGGAAUUUUCUUUGGUUUGUUGGGCUAGCGCCGCCAUGAAUUUUAUAAGUUAAAGGAGCAUGGUUGCCGUUUGAGAGCGGGAUCAAGAAACCUAGCCUAUUUGGCUCUUUUGAUAGUCCAAAGUCAG
Molecule: long non-coding RNA, 607 nt
Organism: Lycium ferocissimum
Lineage: Eukaryota; Viridiplantae; Streptophyta; Magnoliopsida; Solanales; Solanaceae
Exons: 4
Source: RefSeq, a predicted model, not a curated record